RNAcentral lists this small RNA (195 nucleotides) under Sinorhizobium meliloti 2011. RNAcentral describes it as "putative ncRNA". Lineage: Bacteria; Pseudomonadati; Pseudomonadota; Alphaproteobacteria; Hyphomicrobiales; Rhizobiaceae. The record is from RNAcentral.
ACUGGAUGGAAUUAUCAGGAACCGGAACAUCACGCCUCAACGGGACUGCCCGUAAGUAUUCUGCUUUUGUCGGUCCUCGGAAUAUCAGCCUACCUGCUGGUCGGGGGCUCCUUGAGUGGUGGAGAUCGCGUCGGUUCCAAAGUCUAUCUGCCUGUCGCGCAAACACAGGAUCGUUGAGGAAAGUUGGUCGGACCU